Long non-coding RNA from Etheostoma spectabile (orangethroat darter), 125 nucleotides. RefSeq lists it as uncharacterized. The transcript has 3 exons. The record is from RefSeq and is a predicted model, not a curated record. NCBI's taxonomy places the organism in Eukaryota, Metazoa, Chordata, Actinopteri, Perciformes, Percidae.
GUUUAAAAUCUGGGACUUCUGCAGACCUACGGUAGACUUGCAUACUAUGCACUCUGCAUAUUACGAUCCAAUAUAGUGGUAUAGAAACACAAUUUUCACUGUGGACAAUUCUUACAUAGAAGAAA